This is an RNA transcript of Rhineura floridana, 6999 nucleotides long. It is a transcript of the gene named vacuolar protein sorting-associated protein 16 homolog, with no coding region annotated. The record is from RefSeq and is a predicted model, not a curated record. Lineage: Eukaryota; Metazoa; Chordata; Lepidosauria; Squamata; Rhineuridae. The transcript has 9 exons.
AAUAAAUAAAUAAGCUAUGUACAAUAUUUAAAACUUUGUCUCUCAAAAACAUAUUGAAAGGAGGGGUGGGGAAUCAGCCUCAAACAAAAAAAGGCCAGAGGGCACAUGACUGAUCUCUCUGGGGGAGGGUAUUCCAGACAGAGAGGUAGGUGGAGCGAGCAAACGGGUGGGUGGCCUGAAAGCUCCCUCUCUGCAAUCCGCGGCAGAUCGCAGAAUGGGAGAGCUACUCCCCCACCCUAACAAGGGGCCCUUCAGGGGCCUCUGUGAGCCACGGGGCCCUCGGCCAGGGCCCAACCUGGCCGCCCUUUGGCGCCCGCCUUUGCCGCAGCCAGUUGCCUUUCAGGAGCCUCUGCAUUGGCUGAAUGCCAGCUCAGCCGGGAGCUAUGCACAGGGACUGCUGACACCUCAUUGCAGAUCUCCUGAUGGCCGCUUCCAAGGGUUUCAUGUAGAUGUUAGACAGCAUGGGGGACAAGAUGGUUGUGUUCAGUACUCAUAUUGAUUUUUAAUUGUAUUUAUGUUGCUUUUUUAUUGUAUUACAGCCUGAACUCUGGAGUAUAAUUAAGACGGAAUGCAAAUAAAAUACAAUAUCUAAGAAGUAAAAGAAGCAAUAAAAAUACAACUAGAUAUCGCACAUGACAAUGGACAGAAAAAUCAUUUAAGUGGUCCGUCAAGACCAUCAGCAAUUUUCAAGUGGUCUGCGGGGGGGGAUUAAUUGGGGAACAGCCAGGUACCCCUGGGAGCUCUGAAACUGGGUAGGAGAGAGGUGGUAGGCUUCCCUUGUUGUUUUUGGAAUCUGGUAUUGAGGGAUAUCCUGCUCCUGUAUGUGGAAGCUCCACUGAGCCAACACUAGACUUUCUGUAAUGAGUUUGUAUCCAGGAUGGGGAAUUAUGGCCCUCUAGAUGUUGGUGGACUACAGCUCCCAUUAUCCUAGACCGUUGGCCCCACUGGCUGGGGCUGAUGGGAUUUGGAGUCCAGCAGCAUUUGGAGGGCUGUGGGUUUAUAAGAACACAGGAGCUGCCCAAGGGACCGUGUAGUCCAGUAUUAUCAAAAGGUCAUCCAGAUUCGUCUGAAAAGUACAUGAAGAGGGCAAGGACAACCUUUCCCUCUUUGUCCUUGUGAUCUGGUAUUCCGAGGUAGAUUGUCUGAAGAUGUAGGUUCCAUUUAGCUGAUAGCCACUAAUGUUAUUUUUGUUGUAAUAUUUUAAGAUGUGUUAAUAGAAUACACUUAGCUUAAAGUGUUUAGAUUUUUCUUUUGUUAAAAAAUGGAAAGUGCUAAAGACUUGCUUUUUUAAAUUUUAGAUUUGUCUAGUACUGUAUCCAUUCCAGCUGACCAUUUUGGGAUUGUGUCCAUUAUAUGUGUUUAUUUUUAAGACAAUUUCUAAAACUGGAAGGUUUUCUGCAGAAAAAGCGUGACAGUGGAAAUGUUCCAUUUUCCAUCUCUGAGGUGGAUUAGGAUAGGGUAAGGCUAUCAUGGUUAUAAACAGGACUGUAGUUGUCUGGGGUCCCGGGGGGGUGUCUUAGACCCCUUGCUUUUUUGGGAGCAAGUCUCCAGUGUCCUAUGAGCCAAUCAACAUGAAAGGGAAGUAUGUUAGCCACUGAGAAGAAUUUCUAACAUGCGUCCUUGUCCUUUCCUGCUGAUUAGAGCCCUGAAAGUGAAAGGAGGCGAGUCAGCCACUGAGAAGAUUCUUCUCAGCAGCCAACAGACUCCCCUUACAUGCUGAUUGGGAUGUCUGUUGUUGUGGCAGAAGCCAUGUGUGAGAAGGACUGAGGAGUGUGGAGAUGAUUACGGAAAACAAGCAAGCAAGUGAGGGCGUGUGGCAUGACUAUCAUGAAGGGACCCUGCACUUCUGAAUUUGCCACUACACUAGUGGUAAUAAGGUCCUUGGGGAAUGGGUGAACCCCAUUUCUUCCACUGAUUUAAGAACUUCUGUCUCUAGUAGUGAUGGAACUUUGCACGUUGUACAGGUUGGAAGAGAGUGACCUUGCGGAAAGAAUAAUAGUUUUCGCUCUGACGAAGCAGUCUGUUCAUCUCACACUCGAUUCUCUGAACGUCUUCGAACGUGAAGUAAGGGAGCUUUCCAAAGAACCCGUGGCAGAUAAAUGUUUUGGUUUGACUGUUUGUUAGGCGGAUGCAUGGUGGUUAAGGCCCCCUUUGUACCAGACAUUGAAAGCACUAUUGUACCACUUUAAACAGUCAUGACUUCCCCCAAAGAAUCCAGGAACUGUAGUUUGUGAAAGGUGCUGAGAGUUAAGAGAUCCCUAUUCCCCUGUACAGAGCUACAGUUCCCAGAGUUCCCUGCGAAGAGGGAUUGAUUGUUAAACCACUCUUUGUGUGGCUCCGUGAGGGGAAUAGGGGUCUCCUAACGACGCUCAGCACCCUUCACAAACUACAGUUCCCAGGAUUCUUUGAGGGAAGCCAUGACUGUUUAAAGGGCUCCUACUGGGAGGAAGGGUGGGAUAUAAAUCUAACAAAUAAAUAAAUAAAGUGGUACGAUACUCUGAUCCUAGAGGUGGCUGAUCCACUCUGGCCUCUAUAUCUCAGAGAGACAUCUCUCUCCCCCCCUCUCCCUCUCCCCCUCUGUCUCCUCCCUCGUCCCUCUCCCCCCUCUGCCCUUCCCAGGAAGCUGAGAACAACCCUCAGUGCCGCGUCUUCAGAUGAAAGAUCUCAUAAUCUCAGAGAUGCAGCGUCUGACAAAGUACCCUUUGCUGCUGGAGAACAUCAUCAAGCACACCGAUGGUCUGUUAUGUUGUUCUUGUUAUUAAUUAGAUUUAGAUUUAUUAUAUUACAUGUACAUGUGUGUCCCAGGAGAGCUCUGUCUCUAUUAUUUAAGGGUCAUGUUUGGUGGUGCCUCCCCUCCAGCCCUGGAUGUGGAAUGCUCUCCCCAGGGAGGCACGCCCGGCGCCUUCUCUAUCCAUCUUCAGGUGCCAGACAAAGACCUUCCUUUUCUCUCCGGCCUUUGGCCCUUGAUAAGUGUUUUUAGCCCUUUUUGCUUGGGUUUUUAAUACUGUGUGUUUUAAAAUCUGUUCUAUGAGUUGUAAUUCACCUAGAGACUGUUGGUGUGAGGCGACUAACUAAUGAAAACCAUCAUCAUCAUCUGUUAGUGAAUUAUAUAAACUUUCUGCUGUUGUGAGCCACUUUUGAGCAUGGCUUACUAUACAGAGUCAGCACACAAAUAUUUAUAUGUAUACACCCACACAUCUAUCUCUUCCCCCCACCCCCCCGGCAUUAGCACACUGUGUGCCUUUGUUUGUGUCAUCCAGAAACCAAUGUCUGUAUUAACAAAUAAGGAUUAUUUUGGCUUACAUAUUGCUGCUGUUGCUGCUCAUCUGUCUUCCAGACGCCAUUUUUUAAAAAGAAAUUUUCCUUCCUAUUUUGUGUUGGGGUCUGCUCUGGUGCCACACCUGUGUUUCAAAAGCAGCCUGCAAGAUGCUUGUAAAUAAAAAUAAACUUUGCCAGCAGCUGCCAAGCCCCCCACCAUCCCCCUCACUGCGCUGUUGCUUAGGGGAGACCUUGGAGCACAAGAAGCUGUGUUGGGCCCGGGACCAGUGUUGUGAGAUCCUCCGAUACGUGAACAAGGCGGUAAAGCUGGCGGAAAACCAGCAGCGCCUGGAUGCCACCUCUCUGGAGCGGACCAGCAACCCGCUGGCAGCGGAGUUCAAGAACCUUGACCUCCGAAGCCGGCGCAUGAUCCACGAGGGGCCCGAGUUGGCGCAUCAGCAAUGAUAAGACUGUGGACCUGCACGUGCUGCUACUUGAAGAUCUCCUGGUGCUUCUGCAACAGCAGGAUGAAAAGGUGGUUCUGAAGUGCCACAGCAAGAUGGCGCUGGGUUCCUCGGACACCAAGCAGACAUUCAGCCCUGUCCUCAAGCUCAACGCGGUCCUCAUCUGCUCCGUAGCCACAGGGAGAAGGCAUUUACAAGGAUCUCAUCUCAACCCAGCAGCAAAAGGGAGGGGGGAUGGCUGUGACUAUGAUGAAGAGACCCUGCACUUCUGAAUUUGCCACUAUGCUACUGCUCUGAACAUACUACUUGCUUGCGAUCACAAGUCGGAGGAGAGAGCUGCUGUUGCAGUCAGGUGAGGUCCUGCCUUUGAGCUCCCCAUGGACGCAUCCGGCUGGCUGCUGUGAGGACAGGAUGCUGGACUAGAUGGGCCUGAUCCAGCAGCCAGGCUCUCUCCAUGCCUGCAGACAGUCGAAUUGAGUUGAACCGGGAAGGCGGUGGGGCGGGCUUGCUCUGCCGGUCCCUGCUCUUUCCCUCCAGGGAGCAGCAGAGGGAGCUGGCCUGUGCCCUCACGCAAGAUGGCGGCAACUGCGUCGCUCCUUCCGCUUACCCGGGAUGGGCGUUGAGGGCGGAAGUGCCUGGCGACAGGAGGAGAGCUGUUGGGGCGAGAGACCCCAGGAGACGCGCCCCAGCACGGACUGUUACACGGCAAACUGGGACCCUCUCGGGGAAGAGGCUUAUUACCGGAAACUAGAUGUGUACAGCAUGGGCUGGAACGUGAGUGAGGACUUGCGAGACUGCUUGGUUGCUGCUGCUCCCUAUGGGGGCCCCAUUGCUUUGCUGAAAACCAAGAAAGAAAAAUCUCCCAGUUCCCGGCCGCCUCUUGAAAUCUAUUCCGCCUCUGGGGUCCUCUUGGCUAGCAUUCCAUGGAAGAACUGCCCGGCUGUGCAUCUUGGCUGGACAACCAGCGAGGACCUCCUCUGCAUCCAAGAGGAUGGCUCAGUCCUCAUCUACAGCCUUUUCAGCAUGGGAAAUGGUUGCAAGAACACCUGCACUUGGCUGACUUUCUCUUCUCCUAAAGAUACAGGAUCAGUCUCAGGCCCUGAACCUGGCAACCCUACUUGAGAGGUGCAGUUGUGACUUCCUUCCUGGUCUUUGGAUGACUGUUCAAGCCCACCGCUUCAGAAAAAAACAUUGCUCAGAGUAGUUUGAGCCUUGUGAUACUUGCUUGGUUGCUUUUUCCCCCCAGCUAGCGAGACUUGACAAAAUUUCAGAUGUUUACAAAUAAAUUCCUCUAAGUCCUCAGAGGAUAAUGGCUAAAAUUCUCAAUUUCGCUUUCUCAAGUCUUAUGUUCAGUUCUCCACAUUUUCACAUCAGUUUUGUGAUUUUUUUAAAAAAAAGUCCUCCUGCAAAUUCUUCAGUAUUUUAGUGUGAAAUUCUCCUAAUACACACAUUACUGUAUGCAAUUUCCUCAGAUAUACACAUUUUGGGGAGAAAAAGCCCUCCCUCUCUAAUAUAAUGCAAUUUUGUAUGUUAUUUUUACUAAUAUAUGCAUUUUUACCCUAGUAUAUACAUUUUUGUAAAGAUUGCUUGGCUAGAAAACUCAAUUGCAAAGUUAAAGAAAUGUGAAUUUCCAAGAAUGGCUGUGUUUUGGUUUGUGUGUUAAUGCAGAAAGAGUGAAUUAGGUAGAUUCUCCUUUAAAUGGGAACGGAAUCGAAUUUCCCUGCUUUGAGUCAGUUUGAGGGCCUGCUAAUAAAACAGGGCACAGUUUUGUUAGUUGUUCAUCACUUCCUUAUCUGCUGUGGUGCAGUUUAGAAUAUCAACUGUUUUUGAAUGUGAAUGUGAACCACCUUGAGCAUUCCAUAAAGAAACUUUCCUAUCCACUUGAUGUGCUGUGGAAUUCUCAAGGACUGACAUCAUUCCCAGAAUGAUUUUUUUUAAAGGUCUGUUUCUCUGACCAUCUACCUCUGUGCAAGGCAAGGAUGCUGGAACCAGGUCGAGGGAUAUCAUUUUAGCAAACAGCAGAGGAAAUGGAAGAAUACAAAAGAGUUUUUUUCAGUAAUGGUGGCAGAGAUGGGAUCUGCUGGCUCGUGCCGUAUCGAAAGCAGUAUCAAUGUCACAUGUAUCAAUUGGAGUUCAUUCUUUGUCCACUAUCCACUGCUUUGACUGAUCCAUUUUUUCCCUUGAAAAUAGGUUAAUAUUAAUAUCAAUAUUUUGGAAAGGAACUAAUAUUUUUAAAGGAAAUAUCUGUGUUUUUAAAGGAAAAAGAAAUAAAUGGAAAGGAAAGGAAGAAAGCAGCUUUCAGUGCCCCCCCCCCAUCCCCAACCUUCUCCUAGGCAAGCUUAGAAUCCUUAAUGCGGGAGAGCUCUCAAGGGCUAGGUUUGCCUUUUAAUCUCUAUUAUAGGCUUGGCUUGCUUACUCCCACUUGGAUCUUGGGUUAAGGAGGGGGGGAUGCAUGUGUGUGUGUGUGAGAGAGAGAGAGGGAGACAGAGGGAGAGAUGUGCUGUGAGUAAAAUCAAUAAAAGAACAAUAUAUUUGAGGGAAUAUUCAAGGAAGGAAAAUCCAGUGAUGGGGAAAGCCGCUGACAUUUGGAGCAAACAGGAUCGCUCCGCAAAGAUGGAGAAUAUGCAGACCAUUGGAAAAUCUGGUGCUAAAACCAAAUCCAACAAAGUUCUUACCUAUUCCUAGGUGGAGUCAGAUACUCAGCAAGCUUUGAAGGCCCAUUCUUAGAUACAUUUAAAGUUAAAUUGCCUAUCCAAAGCGUAUUUUAAGAGCAUAUGUUUGAUUCCUUUUAAAAAACAUGUCAUAAAAAUGAUUGCAACAAUAUGUUGUUAUGUGCCUUCGGGAGCCAGUGUGGUGUGGUGGUUAAGGUGUUGGACUAAGACCUGGGAGACCAGGGUUUGAAUCCCCACACAGCCAUGAAGCUCACUGGGUGACUUUGGGCCAGUCACUGCCUCUCAGCCUCAGAGGGAGGCAAUGGGAAACCCCCUCUGAAUACCGCUUAUCAUGAAAACCCUAUUCAUAGGGUUGCCAUAAGUCAGCAGCCUUCCGUGUUCCUAUGUUCCAACUGCCCCUUUUUACCAGUUGUUGUUGUUAUGUGUCUUCAAGUCGAUUACGAUUUAUGGUGACCCUAUGAAUCAGCAACCUCCAAUAGCAUCUGUUGUAAACCACCCUUUUCAGAUCUUGUAAGUUCAGGUCUGUGGCUUCCUUUAUGGAAUCAAUCCAUUGCGUGUUUGGUCUUCCUCUUUUUCUACUCCCUUCUGUUUUCCCCAGCAUUAUU